Molecule: long non-coding RNA, 2232 nt
Organism: Homo sapiens (human)
Lineage: Eukaryota; Metazoa; Chordata; Mammalia; Primates; Hominidae
Gene: UBA6-DT
Product: UBA6 divergent transcript
Source: Ensembl
AGAUGUAGAUGGAACCAAAGUCCAGAAGUUACGCGUCACCCUUGCUCUACAGCCAAACAUGCAGGACUCUAGUAACCCGCGAAAUGAUGGGAUAGCGUUGCAAAUCCUUAAAAGAGUCUUAACGGAGAAGGGAAAAUGUUACAUUGUCAAAGUCCCAAAGCCUUUCAGCCUGAAGCCAGGAACAAUUGUUCAAAGUUUCUUUGGAACAUCAAGGAAGGAAAUCCAGAUUUUACUUUAAGUGCAAUGGGGAGUCAUUAAGGAUUUUGUGUAGAUACAGCAAAAAGACAACAAUCUUCAAGCCACAAUGGCCCUCACCAGAACCCAGCCAUGUGGUCAGCCUGAUCUCGGACUUCACAGCCAGCAGAACUGUUUGUCAAAGAUCAGAUGGUUUCCUUAAGCUGAUAAGCAACUUCAACAAAGUCUCAGGAUACAAAAUCAAUGUGCAAAAAUCAUAAGCAUUCUUAUACACCAAUAACAGACAAACAGCCAAAUCAUGAGUGAACUUCCAUUCAUAAUUGCACAAAGAGAAUCAAAUACCUAGGAAUCCAGCUUACAAGGGAUGUGAAGGACCUCUUCAAGGAGAACUACAAACCACUGCUCAAUGAAAUAAAAGGGGACACAAACAAAUGGAAGAACAUUCCAUGCUCAUGGUUAGGAAGAAUCAAUAUCGUGAAAAUGGCCAUACUGCCCAAGAUAAUUUAUAGAUUCAAUGCCAUCCCCAUCAAGCUACCAAUGACUUUCUUCACAGAAUUGGAAGAAACUACGUUAAAGUUCAUAUGGAACCAGAAAAGAGCCUGCACUGCCAAGACAACCCUAAGCAAAAAGAACAAAGCUGGAGGCAUCAUGCCACCUGACUUCAAACUAUACUACAAGGCUACAGUAACCAAAGCAGCAUGGUACUGGUACCAAAACAGAGAUAUAGACCAACGGAACAGAACAGAGGCCUCAGAAAUAACACCACGCAUCUACAGUCUAUGGUAUUUUACUAUGGAAGCCCACCCUAAGAUUUCAAUUUAGCUUCCAUGUAGUUCCCUGGUGCUUGGCAAUCUCCUGACUCACUACCUUGUCACAUGGUCUAUCCCAAGUCAGUCCUUCUCCUCUUCCCAUAUCCCCCUACUCCAAUAUUCACCCAUAUGUGGCCAAGUCUUCCUCCACCUGAGCUCCUUGCAGAGGAAUGAACAAUUGUUUGAACAUUAAUGAAUAUUAAAGAAUUCAGCUUUAGUACGACUAUCCCAGAGAGACUACUAAACAAGUUCACUACAGUGCACGAAAAUCCAGCUUUGGAGAAACUUCUGACCAGCAAGUCAGAAGUUUCAAAGAAAACUUCUUUGGUUUCAAAGAAAAAUCAGCUAGGAAAAGAUACUGAGGAGUCUGUGAAUAGAUGGAGUGGAGUGAGCUAGUAGAUGGUGAAGGCGCUGCUCACGAAAGAAACAGAGGUGGUGCCCAGGUCUUCAGAAUCUGAGUGACGACACUGGACACAAACUACUCACUGACUGGGGAGCAGCUGAGAAGCCUAGCAAAUCCUGGCUUAUCCCCCGAGAAUGUUCCAGCAGGAAAGCUUCCUGCUGACUCAAAAGGAUUUUUCUUCUUCUGAACUCCUAUUAUGGGAAUGGAUGAAAUCACUUACAGAGCCACAGAAGGAAACAAAGCAAAGCCAGGAUCAUGAGUUGGAUUAUCUGGAGGCCUAGGCCAAUGGGGAGUUAUUGCUUGCAGUCACUGAUCAAGCAAAUAAACUUUUCCUUCUUUCUUAUGAAAUUUAUUUAAGAAGCUGAAAUUACUUAAAUGAUAAUGAGUUGUGAGAAAAGAAUUGUAGUAGAUAUUUGUUCUCUAUCCAAAUUGCACUGAGUGGGGAGGUGUACCCAUACCCCAGCUUCGAGAAUUGACUGAUAACAGUUCACACCUGCACUUCUCCAGAGAAUUGUCCUUGUCUGACCUGAGCACCUUGUUUAGUAAUGUCUGGUAGGCUAUGCUCCACCUUCCCUGGGCAGAUCCACUGGUCUAAGACAAACAACCCAACCCUCUAAUUUCUGGGAAGAAUCACCUCCGUGAUUAAUCUAAGCUCCAGAUCUCCCAGAGAAAUCAUGCUGAGGCUACAUUUGUGAAACUACAUUUUUAUCUAGCUUCUUCCUUUGCCCUUUCCUGCUGUCCUCACUUCCUUAUGAAUUUUUUUCUGAAAGAUCUUGAUUAAUAAAUUAUUUAAUCAAGAUCCCCCAGUCAUAAGUUCUGUGUUUU